AUAUCAAUAAGGCGAGGAACAGAAACCAACAGGGAUUCCCCCAGUAGUGGCGAAUGAAGCGGGAAAAGCUCAAGUUUGAAAUCUGAUGGGCGACCGUCAGAGUUGUAAGCUGAAGAGGUCUUGACCGACGUGGCUCGGGCUCAAUUCCCUUGGGAUAGGGAGUCAUGGAGGGUGAGAACCCCGUUCAUGGCCUGCACGCCUCCGUCCUUGUGUCUUCUCCUCGAAGAGUCGGGCUGUUUGGGAAUGCAGCUCAAAAUGGGUGGUAAAUUUCAUCUAAAGCUAAAUAUUGGCGAGAGACCGAUAGCGCACAAGUA
This 314-nucleotide ribosomal RNA is filed under the name uncultured eukaryote. Its description in RNAcentral is "partial large subunit ribosomal RNA". It matches the Rfam family "Eukaryotic large subunit ribosomal RNA", at positions 40 to 350 of the family's 3401-position model. The record is from RNAcentral.